Mus caroli (Ryukyu mouse) is the source of this 544-nucleotide non-coding RNA. The record is from RefSeq and is a predicted model, not a curated record. Lineage: Eukaryota; Metazoa; Chordata; Mammalia; Rodentia; Muridae.
CGCGAUUCCCAUCUGAGGCUGGACCAGUCCUUUCCUUGUAAGUGAGGACUAGGAUCUUCAUUAAGAUUCCAUCUUACUAAAUUAUCAUCACAGCCCAGUCCUGACUUCUGGAGGAAAUAUCCGGACUUUCUCGAUAAAGUUUGGACUACUUACAAUCUCUUUGGUCAUCAUUUCUACACCAACCCAGUUUUUUCUCCAUUCUGGGCCCAGAGGAAUUGAGUCCUGUUCUGAAGCUUUUUGAGAGCUCAAAGUUCAGCAUCAUUAGUGAAUCUUAGCUGCUGACUGUCUACACAGCAAAUGCUUUAGAGAAUUAUUCUGUUGAAACAAUAAUGAUUUUCAUAGACUGCAAUCUCAGUUGAAUAUGUUUUCUCUGUAAUGUGAACGAAUACCCAGCACUUGUCAACAAAACUGCAUAGACCUUGAAAGAAAACCCUUUAAAUUGAACAGCUUGGACACUAGGUUGAGCAGGAGAAACCUUAACAACAGUAAAUAUUCGUUCACCUUCUGGAAGAUUCAACCACUGAUACACACAGAGCUGCUGCUG